UACAGAGGUCUCGAGCGUUGUUCGGAUUCAUUGGGCGUAAAGGGUGCGUAGGUGGCGCAGUAAGUCGGGUGUGAAAUCCUGAGGCUUAACCUCAGAACUGCAUUCGAUACUGCUGUGCUUGAGGACUGGAGAGGAGACUGGAAUUCAUGGUGUAGCAGUGAAAUGCGUAGAGAUCAUGAGGAAGACCAGUGGCGAAGGCAGCCCCCUGGGUCAACACUGACGCUCAUGCACGAAAGCGUGGGGAGCAAACAGG
This 253-nucleotide ribosomal RNA is filed under the name uncultured bacterium. RNAcentral describes it as "partial 16S ribosomal RNA". It matches the Rfam family "Bacterial small subunit ribosomal RNA", at positions 524 to 776 of the family's 1533-position model. The record is from RNAcentral.